Molecule: ribosomal RNA, 610 nt
Filed under: Salmonella enterica subsp. enterica serovar Weltevreden
Lineage: Bacteria; Pseudomonadati; Pseudomonadota; Gammaproteobacteria; Enterobacterales; Enterobacteriaceae
Description: partial 23S ribosomal RNA
Rfam family: Bacterial large subunit ribosomal RNA
Source: RNAcentral
CAGGUUUACCUGUGUGACUGCGUACCUUUUGUAUAAUGGGUCAGCGACUUAUAUUCUGUAGCAAGGUUAACCGCAUAGGGGAGCCGGAGGGAAACCGAGUCUUAAUUGGGCGUUAAGUUGCAGGGUAUAGACCCGAAACCCGGUGAUCUAGCCAUGGGCAGGUUGAAGGUUGGGUAACACUAACUGGAGGACCGAACCGACUAAUGUUGAAAAAUUAGCGGAUGACCUGUGGCUGGGGGUGAAAGGCCAAUCAAACCGGGAGAUAGCUGGUUCUCCCCGAAAGCUAUUUAGGUAGCGCCUCGUGAAUUCAUCUCCGGGGGUAGAGCACUGUUUCGGCUAGGGGGCCAUCCCGGCUUACCAACCCGAUGCAAACUGCGAAUACCGGAGAAUGUUAUCACGGGAGACACACGGCGGGUGCUAACGUCCGUCGUGAAGAGGGAAACAACCCAGACCGCCAGCUAAGGUCCCAAAGUCAUGGUUAAGUGGGAAACGAUGUGGGAAGGCCCAGACAGCCAGGAUGUUGGCUUAGAAGCAGCCAUCAUUUAAAGAAAGCGUAAUAGCUCACUGGUCGAGUCGGCCUGCGCGGAAGAUGUAACGGGGCUAAACCAUG